Molecule: transfer RNA, 77 nt
Filed under: Parahaliea mediterranea
Lineage: Bacteria; Pseudomonadati; Pseudomonadota; Gammaproteobacteria; Cellvibrionales; Halieaceae
Also listed under: 2 other names
Description: tRNA-Arg
Rfam family: tRNA
About the family: Transfer RNA (tRNA) molecules are approximately 80 nucleotides in length. Their secondary structure includes four short double-helical elements and three loops (D, anti-codon, and T loops).
Source: RNAcentral
GGGGGUAUAGCUCAGUUGGAUAGAGCAACGGCCUUCUAAGCCGUGGGUCGGGGGUUCGAAUCCUCCUACCCCCGCCA